Molecule: ribosomal RNA, 611 nt
Filed under: uncultured bacterium
Lineage: Bacteria
Description: bacterial SSU rRNA
Rfam family: Bacterial small subunit ribosomal RNA
Source: RNAcentral
GCAAGUCGAACGAAGUCUUCGGACUUAGUGGCGGACGGGUGAGUAACACGUGGGAACGUGCCUUUAGGUUCGGAAUAACUCAGAGAAACUUGUGCUAAUACCGAAUGUGCCCUUCGGGGGAAAGAUUUAUCGCCUUUAGAGCGGCCCGCGUCUGAUUAGCUAGUUGGUGAGGUAAAGGCUCACCAAGGCGACGAUCAGUAGCUGGUCUGAGAGGAUGAUCAGCCACAUUGGGACUGAGACACGGCCCAAACUCCUACGGGAGGCAGCAGUGGGGAAUCUUGCGCAAUGGGCGAAAGCCUGACGCAGCCAUGCCGCGUGAAUGAUGAAGGUCUUAGGAUUGUAAAAUUCUUUCACCGGGGACGAUAAUGACGGUACCCGGAGAAGAAGCCCCGGCUAACUUCGUGCCAGCAGCCGCGGUAAUACGAAGGGGGCUAGCGUUGCUCGGAAUUACUGGGCGUAAAGGGAGCGUAGGCGGACAUUUAAGUCAGGGGUGAAAUCCCGGGGCUCAACCUCGGAAUUGCCUUUGAUACUGGGUGUCUUGAGUGUGAGAGAGGUAUGUGGAACUCCGAGUGUAGAGGUGAAAUUCGUAGAUAUUCGGAAGAACACCAGUG